Molecule: ribosomal RNA, 422 nt
Filed under: Adenomera ajurauna group sp. ABGD cluster 1
Lineage: Eukaryota; Metazoa; Chordata; Amphibia; Anura; Leptodactylidae
Description: partial large subunit ribosomal RNA
Rfam family: Bacterial large subunit ribosomal RNA
Source: RNAcentral
CUUGCCUCACAUGAGAGGUCCAGCCUGCCCAGUGACAUUGUUCAACGGCCGCGGUAUCCUAACCGUGCGAAGGUAGCGUAAUCACUUGUUCUUUAAAUAAGGACUAGUAUGAAAGGCACCACGAGAGUCAUACUGUCUCCUUUCUCUAAUCAGUGAAACUAAUCUCCCCGUGAAGAAGCGAGGAUAAAAAUAUAAGACGAGAAGACCCUAUGGAGCUUAAAACAAGUAACACUUGCCCGCUAAACCUUCUAAUUUCAGAAAAACUUUCUAUCCCGGCAUCAUGAUUAUUAGUUUUCGGUUGGGGUGACCACGGAGCAAAAAACAACCUCCGCAAUGAAGAGUACUCAUCUACUUAAUCAAGGACCACAACCCCACACAUCAACAAAUUGACACUAAUUGACCCAACACGUUGAUCAAUGAAC